This 253-nucleotide ribosomal RNA is filed under the name uncultured bacterium. Its description in RNAcentral is "partial 16S ribosomal RNA". It matches the Rfam family "Bacterial small subunit ribosomal RNA", at positions 524 to 776 of the family's 1533-position model. The record is from RNAcentral.
UACGUAGGGGGCCAGCGUUGUUCGGAAUUACUGGGUGUAAAGGGUUCGUAGGCGGUGCGGCAAGUUGGGAGUGAAAUCUCUGGGCUUAACCCAGAGGCUGCUUCCAAAACUGCUGUGCUUGAGUGUGGGAGAGGCGCGUGGAAUUGCAGGUGUAGCGGUGAAAUGCGUAGAUAUCUGCAGGAACACCCGUGGCGAAAGCGGCGCGCUGGACCACUACUGACGCUGAGGAACGAAAGCUAGGGGAGCAAACAGG